This 253-nucleotide ribosomal RNA is filed under the name uncultured bacterium. RNAcentral's name for it is "partial 16S ribosomal RNA". It matches the Rfam family "Bacterial small subunit ribosomal RNA", at positions 524 to 776 of the family's 1533-position model. The record is from RNAcentral.
UACGUAGGGGGCAAGCGUUGUCCGGAAUCAUUGGGCGUAAAGAGCGUGUAGGCGGCCCGGUAAGUCCGCCGUGAAAGUCCAGGGCUCAACCCUGGAAUGCCGGUGGAAACUGCCGGGCUGGAGUCCGGAAGAGGCGAGUGGAAUUCCUGGUGUAGCGGUGAAAUGCGUAGAUAUCAGGAGGAACACCAAUGGCGAAGGCAGCUCGCUGGGACGGUACUGACGCUGAGACGCGAAAGCGUGGGGAGCAAACAGG